UGGACUGAUGAUGACCACUGGUGGCCUAUGAGUCACACAAUGAAUACAUAUCUGGAACUCUGAGGUCCAU
Molecule: small nucleolar RNA, 70 nt
Organism: Cercocebus atys (sooty mangabey)
Lineage: Eukaryota; Metazoa; Chordata; Mammalia; Primates; Cercopithecidae
Gene: SNORD114-5
Product: small nucleolar RNA, C/D box 114-5
Source: Ensembl